CCCCUCAAUCACACAAUCCCACAAAGAAGAGUAGCAUGUUAUUCAGAUUAUGAGGGUGAGCAGACCAUAUAUUCAUUCAGCCAAGAAUACUCAUUUAGCCAGUCACAACCAGGGGGUUCACAAGCUUCACAAACAAUAACUAGCCAAGCCUUACAGGACCUAGCAAUGGCUAGAAGGAUGCAAAGGAGAAAAUAGUUGAAAGUUGCUUUGUACCUGAUUAAUGGAAGGUGAUGAAGUUGAUUUUUUUUUGCUGCUGAUGGAAGAACACCAAUAUCAGAAAUUUUUCGUGUUGUGGAAGUUCUUAUUUUUUGCUGCUCCUGAUUUCUUGAGAG
Beta vulgaris subsp. vulgaris (sugar beet) is the source of this 332-nucleotide long non-coding RNA. RefSeq lists it as uncharacterized. NCBI's taxonomy places the organism in Eukaryota, Viridiplantae, Streptophyta, Magnoliopsida, Caryophyllales, Amaranthaceae. The transcript is spliced from 3 exons. The record is from RefSeq and is a predicted model, not a curated record.